Molecule: ribosomal RNA, 1726 nt
Filed under: Escherichia coli
Lineage: Bacteria; Pseudomonadati; Pseudomonadota; Gammaproteobacteria; Enterobacterales; Enterobacteriaceae
Description: bacterial LSU rRNA
Rfam family: Bacterial large subunit ribosomal RNA
Source: RNAcentral
GUUGUUGGGUAGGGGAGCGUUCUGUAAGCCUGUGAAGGUGUACUGUGAGGUAUGCUGGAGGUAUCAGAAGUGCGAAUGCUGACAUAAGUAACGAUAAAGCGGGUGAAAAGCCCGCUCGCCGGAAGACCAAGGGUUCCUGUCCAACGUUAAUCGGGGCAGGGUGAGUCGACCCCUAAGGCGAGGCCGAAAGGCGUAGUCGAUGGGAAACAGGUUAAUAUUCCUGUACUUGGUGUUACUGCGAAGGGGGGACGGAGAAGGCUAUGUUGGCCGGGCGACGGUUGUCCCGGUUUAAGCGUGUAGGCUGGUUUUCCAGGCAAAUCCGGAAAAUCAAGGCUGAGGCGUGAUGACGAGGCACUACGGUGCUGAAGCAACAAAUGCCCUGCUUCCAGGAAAAGCCUCUAAGCAUCAGGUAACAUCAAAUCGUACCCCAAACCGACACAGGUGGUCAGGUAGAGAAUACCAAGGCGCUUGAGAGAACUCGGGUGAAGGAACUAGGCAAAAUGGUGCCGUAACUUCGGGAGAAGGCACGCUGAUAUGUAGGUGAAGUCCCUCGCGGAUGGAGCUGAAAUCAGUCGAAGAUACCAGCUGGCUGCAACUGUUUAUUAAAAACACAGCACUGUGCAAACACGAAAGUGGACGUAUACGGUGUGACGCCUGCCCGGUGCCGGAAGGUUAAUUGAUGGGGUCAGCGCAAACGAAGCUCUUGAUCGAAGCCCCGGUAAACGGCGGCCGUAACUAUAACGGUCCUAAGGUAGCGAAAUUCCUUGUCGGGUAAGUUCCGACCUGCACGAAUGGCGUAAUGAUGGCCAGGCUGUCUCCACCCGAGACUCAGUGAAAUUGAACUCGCUGUGAAGAUGCAGUGUACCCGCGGCAAGACGGAAAGACCCCGUGAACCUUUACUAUAGCUUGACACUGAACAUUGAGCCUUGAUGUGUAGGAUAGGUGGGAGGCUUGGAAGUGUGGACGCCAGUCUGCAUGGAGCCGACCUUGAAAUACCACCCUUUAAUGUUUGAUGUUCUAACGUUGACCCGUAAUCCGGGUUGCGGACAGUGUCUGGUGGGUAGUUUGACUGGGGCGGUCUCCUCCUAAAGAGUAACGGAGGAGCACGAAGGUUGGCUAAUCCUGGUCGGACAUCAGGAGGUUAGUGCAAUGGCAUAAGCCAGCUUGACUGCGAGCGUGACGGCGCGAGCAGGUGCGAAAGCAGGUCAUAGUGAUCCGGUGGUUCUGAAUGGAAGGGCCAUCGCUCAACGGAUAAAAGGUACUCCGGGGAUAACAGGCUGAUACCGCCCAAGAGUUCAUAUCGACGGCGGUGUUUGGCACCUCGAUGUCGGCUCAUCACAUCCUGGGGCUGAAGUAGGUCCCAAGGGUAUGGCUGUUCGCCAUUUAAAGUGGUACGCGAGCUGGGUUUAGAACGUCGUGAGACAGUUCGGUCCCUAUCUGCCGUGGGCGCUGGAGAACUGAGGGGGGCUGCUCCUAGUACGAGAGGACCGGAGUGGACGCAUCACUGGUGUUCGGGUUGUCAUGCCAAUGGCACUGCCCGGUAGCUAAAUGCGGAAGAGAUAAGUGCUGAAAGCAUCUAAGCACGAAACUUGCCCCGAGAUGAGUUCUCCCUGACUCCUUGAGAGUCCUGAAGGAACGUUGAAGACGACGACGUUGAUAGGCCGGGUGUGUAAGCGCAGCGAUGCGUUGAGCUAACCGGUACUAAUGAACCGUGAGGCUUAACCUU